CCUACGGGAGGCAGCAGUGGGGAAUAUUGCACAAUGGGGGGAACCCUGAUGCAGCAACGCCGCGUGGGGGAAGAAGUACUUCGGUAUGUAAAGCCCUUUCAGUAGGGAAGAAAAUGACGGUACCUGACCAAGAAGCCCCGGCUAACUACGUGCCAGCAGCCGCGGUAAUACGGAGGGGGCAAGCGUUAUCCGGAUUUACUGGGUGUAAAGGGAGCGUAGACGGGAAAGCAAGUCUGAAGUGAAAGCCUGUGGCCCAACCACGGGACUGCUUUGGAAACUGUGUUGCUGGAGUGCAGGAGGGGUAGGUGGAAUUCUUGGUGUAGCGGUGAAAUGCGUAGAUAUUAGGAGGAACACCGGUGGCGAAGGCGACUUACUGGACUGUAACUGACGUUGAGGCUCGAAGGCGUGGGGAGCAAACAGGAUUAGAUACCCUGGUAGUC
RNAcentral lists this ribosomal RNA (440 nucleotides) under uncultured bacterium. Its description in RNAcentral is "partial 16S ribosomal RNA". It matches the Rfam family "Bacterial small subunit ribosomal RNA", at positions 338 to 795 of the family's 1533-position model. The record is from RNAcentral.